AAAUUGAAGAGUUUGAUCAUGGCUCAGAUUGAACGCUGGCGGCAGGCCUAACACAUGCAAGUCGAACGGUAACAGGAAGCAGCUUGCUGCUUCGCUGACGAGUGGCGGACGGGUGAGUAAUGUCUGGGAAACUGCCUGAUGGAGGGGGAUAACUACUGGAAACGGUAGCUAAUACCGCAUAACGUCGCAAGACCAAAGAGGGGGACCUUCGGGCCUCUUGCCAUCGGAUGUGCCCAGAUGGGAUUAGCUUGUUGGUGGGGUAACGGCUCACCAAGGCGACGAUCCCUAGCUGGUCUGAGAGGAUGACCAGCCACACUGGAACUGAGACACGGUCCAGACUCCUACGGGAGGCAGCAGUGGGGAAUAUUGCACAAUGGGCGCAAGCCUGAUGCAGCCAUGCCGCGUGUAUGAAGAAGGCCUUCGGGUUGUAAAGUACUUUCAGCGGGGAGGAAGGGAGUAAAGUUAAUACCUUUGCUCAUUGACGUUACCCGCAGAAGAAGCACCGGCUAACUCCGUGCCAGCAGCCGCGGUAAUACGGAGGGUGCAAGCGUUAAUCGGAAUUACUGGGCGUAAAGCGCACGCAGGCGGUUUGUUAAGUCAGAUGUGAAAUCCCCGGGCUCAACCUGGGAACUGCAUCUGAUACUGGCAAGCUUGAGUCUCGUAGAGGGGGGUAGAAUUCCAGGUGUAGCGGUGAAAUGCGUAGAGAUCUGGAGGAAUACCGGUGGCGAAGGCGGCCCCCCUGGACGAAGACUGACGCUCAGGUGCGAAAGCGUGGGGAGCAAACAGGAUUAGAUACCCUGGUAGUCCACGCCGUAAACGAUGUCGACUUGGAGGUUGUGCCCUUGAGGCGUGGCUUCCGGAGCUAACGCGUUAAGUCGACCGCCUGGGGAGUACGGCCGCAAGGUUAAAACUCAAAUGAAUUGACGGGGGCCCGCACAAGCGGUGGAGCAUGUGGUUUAAUUCGAUGCAACGCGAAGAACCUUACCUGGUCUUGACAUCCACGGAAGUUUUCAGAGAUGAGAAUGUGCCUUCGGGAACCGUGAGACAGGUGCUGCAUGGCUGUCGUCAGCUCGUGUUGUGAAAUGUUGGGUUAAGUCCCGCAACGAGCGCAACCCUUAUCCUUUGUUGCCAGCGGUCCGGCCGGGAACUCAAAGGAGACUGCCAGUGAUAAACUGGAGGAAGGUGGGGAUGACGUCAAGUCAUCAUGGCCCUUACGACCAGGGCUACACACGUGCUACAAUGGCGCAUACAAAGAGAAGCGACCUCGCGAGAGCAAGCGGACCUCAUAAAGUGCGUCGUAGUCCGGAUUGGAGUCUGCAACUCGACUCCAUGAAGUCGGAAUCGCUAGUAAUCGUGGAUCAGAAUGCCACGGUGAAUACGUUCCCGGGCCUUGUACACACCGCCCGUCACACCAUGGGAGUGGGUUGCAAAAGAAGUAGGUAGCUUAACCUUCGGGAGGGCGCUUACCACUUUGUGAUUCAUGACUGGGGUGAAGUCGUAACAAGGUAACCGUAGGGGAACCUGCGGUUGGAUCACCUCCUUA
This 1543-nucleotide ribosomal RNA is filed under the name Escherichia coli. RNAcentral describes it as "SSU rRNA". It matches the Rfam family "Bacterial small subunit ribosomal RNA". Lineage: Bacteria; Pseudomonadati; Pseudomonadota; Gammaproteobacteria; Enterobacterales; Enterobacteriaceae. The record is from RNAcentral.